This 105-nucleotide ribosomal RNA is filed under the name Melanthalia intermedia. The record is from RNAcentral. Lineage: Eukaryota; Rhodophyta; Florideophyceae; Gracilariales; Gracilariaceae.
UUUAACUUAAAAAGUGAAGCAAAAGUACCCGAUCCCUUAUCGAACUCGAGUGUAUAUUCGUCUUAACUGAAACUACUAUUUUUAUGGAAUUUUCAGAAAGUUAAA